RNAcentral lists this unclassified non-coding RNA (200 nucleotides) under fungal sp. Its description in RNAcentral is "partial internal transcribed spacer 2". Lineage: Eukaryota; Fungi. The record is from RNAcentral.
UUAAGUUCAGCGGGUAUCCCUACCUGAUCCGAGGUCAACCUGGUGAAAUGGUUUUGAGGUUUGACGGCGGAAGACUCGCCGGGCCCGCAGGACGUUUUAUUUCUACUACGCCCAAAGCCCGUGUGACUUCGCCGAAGGUUUUGAGGCACGCCCGCCCCUUCCGGGGGGACGAAGGCCUAAUACCAAGCUGGGCUUGAUUG